This is a long non-coding RNA of Ornithorhynchus anatinus (platypus), 826 nucleotides long. RefSeq lists it as uncharacterized. Lineage: Eukaryota; Metazoa; Chordata; Mammalia; Monotremata; Ornithorhynchidae. The transcript has 3 exons. The record is from RefSeq and is a predicted model, not a curated record.
UGUCUUGCCAGUACCUUCCUUAGCCUAUUUCACAAGAAACUGAACAAAGCAUACAGUAGCUCUUCAUAGAGGGCUGUUUUGAAUAUGUCAAUGAAAUGUAAGGUGUGUUGCUUUGUCUUCAUGUUCUUAUGAAUAUGUUUCUUAACAUCAAGCCAAAGAAGACCCAGUAAAGAGUCUCGAAUUCUUUAAAGAAUGAAAUCAAGAACCAAACCAUAUGGAAAAGAGAUUCAGGAAGAUAAUGUGGAAUUGGGUCUGAAAGGCAGAUGUUCAGAAAAUAAGCAACAAGAGAAUAGGAAGGAAAUGGAGUUCUGCAGGACCAGGAUACUGAAUUAGAAGCAGCACCACCCAAUGCCCUGGCUUGAAGCAAUAGUUAAGUUGUAUAAGUCCUAAUCAUCAAGGAAGAGAGAUGAAGCAGUUGAAGAGGAGUAAGAUUUGAAAGAUUUCCACGGAUAAUUGAAAUGAGAUGGAGAGUGGUGGAUUGGUAGAUUAGGGUGAUCAAGACAACGAUUGUUUAGGAAAGAAAGGAUGCAAGAAUUUCCAAGCUUUUUGAAUUUUGGCAAGAUAGGGGAAGGCACAGUGAGGAGAGCACUACUGCUAGAUGAAAUAGACAAGACCGUGGAAGAAGAGAGUAUUGUUUGAAAAACCAUCAAUGGGGCUCUAAUGCCAACCCAUUCACCUUGGCUGAUUUGAUUACCACUCACAUUCAUCACAUUUUCCCGCACAUUUCCAAAACUCUCUCAGAAGAUCUCAAUUUCCUCAGCAGGGUGUGGUAGCAAAUUGAGAUACACAGGCCUUUUGUUAUGAAAAAUGGGGUCUUACUCUCUCA